GAUGAACGCUAGCGGCAGGCCUAACACAUGCAAGUCGAGGGAGAAGCCCUUCGGGGCAGAAACCGGCGCACGGGUGCGUAACGCGUAUGCAACCUACCUUUCACAGGGGGAUAGCCCGAAGAAAUUUGGAUUAAUACCCCAUAAUAUUAUUGGAUGGCAUCAUUUGAUAAUUAAAAUUACGAUGGUGAAAGAUGGGCAUGCGUCCUAUUAGCUAGUUGGAGUGGUAACGGCACCCCAAGGCUACGAUAGGUAGGGGUCCUGAGAGGGAGAUCCCCCACACUGGUACUGAGACAGGGACCAGACUCCUACGGGAGGCAGCAGUGAGGAAUAUUGGUCAAUGGUCGGAAGACUGAACCAGCCGUGCCGCGUGCAGGAAGAAUGCCUUAUGGGUUGUAAACUGCUUUUAUAUGGGAAGAAUAAGGAGUACGUGUACUUUGANGACGGUNCCA
Molecule: ribosomal RNA, 449 nt
Filed under: uncultured bacterium
Lineage: Bacteria
Description: bacterial SSU rRNA
Rfam family: Bacterial small subunit ribosomal RNA
Source: RNAcentral